This is a long non-coding RNA of Triticum aestivum (bread wheat), 1211 nucleotides long. RefSeq lists it as uncharacterized. Lineage: Eukaryota; Viridiplantae; Streptophyta; Magnoliopsida; Poales; Poaceae. The transcript has 3 exons. The record is from RefSeq and is a predicted model, not a curated record.
AUGGCAAAACCUUAUCCUCUGUCCCCACACCCGCAACCAGCACUCCCAUCCCACCGGCUCCGGCCGCCGCCCCCACUCCCGGCUCCGGCCGCUGCCCUCGCUCCCGUCUCCCCUGGCUCCGACGGCUGCCCCGCUCCCAUCUCCCCUGGCUCCGGCCAUCUCCCUGCUCCCAUCUCCCCUGGCUCAGGCCAUCGCCUCGCUCCCGUCUCCCCUGGCUCAGGCCGUCGCCUCGCUCCCGUCUCUCCCGGCUCCGGCCGCCGCCCCGCUCCCGUCUCCCCGGCUCCGGCCACCACCCCACACCCGUGUCUACUAGGUCCAGCUGCCACCUCGUCCCCAUCUGCUCCACGACCCCAUCGAUGUCCAGCCCGCCUCCCAUGCAACGCCUGCAGGCCCUCACGCAAGUCAUCCUUGCUCCUCCCGAGACCAAAGCAUGCAGCCGCCGGCAACCUGGCCGCUGCGCAUCACUGUCGGCCGCGUUCCUCCGCGCCUCCCCAAUCCACCACACGUCGCCACUGCAGCUCCAGCGUCGCCCUCUGCCGCCUAAGCUCACAGUCCGUUCAAAUUCAGUCACCACGCCGUUCAUCACCACCACCAAAGCCCGUUCAUUUGGCGUCGUUCGUGCAGCUGCGAAUGUGGUCGCUGGGGCUAGAACUGUAAGAUCUGCAGCUCACCAGUUCAACUUAUUGCUCCGCCGCCGGUCACUCAAAAAAGAGUCGCAUGCAGGCCACCCCGUGCUCGGCCCCCUUAUCUGGCAUUUUUGAUCAUGCAAGUUCAACUAUAUAACCCGCCGCCGCCCAGGGACCCAACGCGCCACCGCUCCUCUGAUUCUGCUCCCCGGCUCUGCUUGUAAUUCUUCCGCCGACACCAAUGGAAUUGAGGCUUCCCCAAGGAACAAGAUUGGUAACUAGCGCAAAGGAGACUAUGUCGAGAGGUGGCACUGCUAGACUUGCUGAUGUGUAGUUAUGGCAUAAAAAAGAUAAAAAAAAUGGUAUCUUGUAUGAUUCCAUAAGGUGCAUAUAGCAAAUCAUCCCAUGUGGAUCAGUACAACUUAUGUAUGGCCUUUAGUUCACAAAUCUUAUAGUAAUCUUUGUAGUACUCUUCAUAACACUUCGUAAAGCAAGAGUGGCCCUUUUUUGUGAGCAGCAAUUCAAACGAGACAGUUGUAUCUGUUCUUAUGAUGGAUAGAAGAAAGUUCAAUAGCCAAAAGGUUA